GCUGAAUCUUCCCCGACUUCAGUUGCAUGCUGCCAUUAGUCACCAGGUUGACCUGGAAUUCCUUGGUUUAGGUCUGGGCAGCGUCUUCCUGAACAGCCUGAAGCAGACGGUGGUGACCCUAGCAAGCAGCGCAGACGUGCUGAGCACCAUGCAGUCGGCCUCCCAGGCCAUGCUGCAGAGCGGCUGGUCCAUGCUGUUGCCCACCGCUGAGAAGCAGGCCCGGGCACUCUGCUCUCCUGCCCUGCGGAGUUUCAGGCAAUGAAGUGAACAUAAGUCCAGGUCAUCGAUUGGUGAUUGAUCUUCUGGUGGGCAGCUUGAUGGCUGAUGGAGGGUUGGAGUCAGCCUUACAUGCAGCCAGUACUGCAGAGAUCCAGGAUACAAAAAAAGAAGCACAGAAGGAAAAAGAAAUUGAUGAACAGGAAGCGAAUGCCUCAACAUUUCAUAGAAGGAGGACUCCAUUGGAUAAAGACCUUAUUAGUAUGGGGAUCUGUGAGUCUUCUGGCAAACAGUGUUUGCCUCUGGUUCAGCU
RNAcentral lists this long non-coding RNA (529 nucleotides) under Pan troglodytes (chimpanzee). RNAcentral describes it as "long non-coding RNA NONPTRT005558". The record is from RNAcentral. Lineage: Eukaryota; Metazoa; Chordata; Mammalia; Primates; Hominidae.